ACUCCUACGGGAGGCAGCAGUGGGGAAUAUUGGACAAUGGGCGAAAGCCUGAUCCAGCCCAUGCCGCGUGUGUGAAGAAGGUCUUCGGAUUGUAAAGCACUUUAAGUUGGGAGGAAGGGCAUUAACCUAAUACGUUAGUGUCUUGACGUUACCG
Molecule: ribosomal RNA, 154 nt
Filed under: uncultured bacterium
Lineage: Bacteria
Description: partial 16S ribosomal RNA
Rfam family: Bacterial small subunit ribosomal RNA
Source: RNAcentral